This 2062-nucleotide long non-coding RNA is filed under the name Canis lupus familiaris (dog). RNAcentral describes it as "lncRNA (ENSCAFG00000051308.1)". The record is from RNAcentral. Lineage: Eukaryota; Metazoa; Chordata; Mammalia; Carnivora; Canidae.
UUUUAUUUAUUUACUCAUAGAGACAGAGAGAGAGAGGCAGAGACACAGGCAGAGGGAGAAGCAGGCUCCAUGCAGGGAGCCCGACGUGGGACUCGAUCCAGGGUCUCCAGGAUCACGCCUUGGGCUGCAGGCGGCACUAAACCGCUGCGCCACCGGGGCUGCCCACGAAGAUAUCCUUUAAAGCAAACUGGUAUAUCCAUACAAUAGAAUACUUCUGCCAUAUAAAGGAAUGAGAUAUCAAGCCAUACGAAAACGCAUGAAUACAUAUUGUUAAGUGAAAGAAGACAGUAUGUCAGAUGACAGGAAAGCAACAGGGGAGGUAAACAGAAUAGUGGUUAUCAGGAGUUCCACUGAGGGGGAGGUGGUUUGAGUGCAGCAUAUGGGAUUUUAGGACAAUGAAACUUUUCCUUAUCCUACUGUAAUGGUAGAUACGACAAUAUGCAAUUGUCAAUAUCCAUAUAGAACUUUACAACACAAAGGUGAAACUUAAAAUUCCAAAAUAAAAAAAUUAAAAUUUAGGAAGUUAUGGAACACUAGGAUAGAACCUACACUGUGACAAAAGAAGUUAGCUGUGUACAAAUGUAUGAAACAGCCUUGUUGGAGGGAGUGGGGGGCAGAGCUACUGACCUGAGUAACAUGGAAAUGAGGGUAGUCUUUAAGAUUGAAGGCAAGAGGAACUGCACAUAAACAUUGUACCAUAGUUGAUAGUUAAUUAACUGGAUAGAGAAUAGUAGGAGACAGAUAUCUGCCUGUUGGGGGGUGCGGAAUUUAUAGAUAAGUGGGGGGCAAAAGGUUGAAUAAUUCAUGUGGCAGUACAUUAGAAAUGGAAACAUAAGUAUAAACUCAUGUUUAGCUUAACAUAAAUACAGAUGAAUACAUAUACAAAUAUUUAGCAACAAGCUCAGCAUCUAAAUCUUGGUUUCAAAUACUAUUUUCCAAUAAAAGGAACCAAGGCUCAUUGGAGAAGUUGCUGACUGUAAUACCAAGUCUAGAAAUAUAAAAGAUGAUCCAAGAAUAUCUAUUAGUACCAAAAAGGAAGAAAGUAUUAAAAAAAAAACAAAAUUCCACAAUAAUGGGUAUGUGACAAAUAGACACAAAAUUCAAAUGAAAGAAUUCCCAGUGGCAAAGCUCAUAAAAUUUUAGCCACAAAACCAAUAUGCAUGAGCCUGUGUGGAAAUUAAUAAAUCAUUAAAAAUUUUAACCAACUAGAUAAAUAAGGGAAAUGAAAAAUUUCUCAUCUAGAAAAAUUCUAAAUAAUUUAUUUAGAUAUUCCAGUGUCAAGGCGAGAGAGCCGAACUUCCUACUUCUUAAGUGUAGAUGAUACAUCUUUGCAAGUCCCACAGUAUGGAGAUAGGAAAAAAUGAAUAACUUCACAGUAGAAAAACUUGACAAGCAUGAUGUCAUCAAGAUGAUCAGAUUAACAUCACCAGUUAUAAUUCAUGUUGAUGGUAUGUACCCUCGGUAUGAUAUGGUGAAAAUGGCUCUUCAUUUCUGUGAUCUUUCUUCCCAAAACCAUGACCCCAGUGUAACCAUGAGAAAAACAUUAGACAAAUAUCAAUUUUAAACAACAUUUAACUAGUAAUCCUUAAAACUGUAAAGGUCAUCAAAAUCAAAGUUUAAAGAACUAUCACAACCAAGAAGAUCUUAGACCAUGGGAAUGAAAUGUGGUAUCCUGUGGGAAACUGUGGGACUGAGAAAGGGCAUGAAGGAAAAAUUAAAGAAAUCCAAGUAAAUAUGCACUUCAAUUAAAAACAAAAAACCUUCAAGUCACAGAAUAUUUAUGUGAUUUGCUAAAAAUCGCCGAGCUGGAAAGCAUUGGCACUUGUUGCAUUGGACACCAUUUCCUGUGACUUUGCGUCCAGAGUUCUUUCCAGCAUGAGAGAAAAGAUCUCUUCAGUCUGCAUUCCACAGCCUCAGAUUUCCUCAUAGACAAGUUAUCAACAGUCCAGGAACUAAAAGGUUUAUUUUUGGCAAGAGCCAGAUUUUUCAUCCAGAUACUUCCAUUCCUUUUUGUGAUGAGUUUAUAGAGUAAGGUAGGAGUGAAACACUACAUUGGGUUCAC